Molecule: non-coding RNA, 67 nt
Organism: Potamilus streckersoni
Lineage: Eukaryota; Metazoa; Mollusca; Bivalvia; Unionida; Unionidae
Source: the annotation of a GenBank genome assembly
GUGGCUUAGUGGUUUGAGUGUCUGUCUUGGAUGCAGAAGGAUGCCAGUUAAAACCAUGGCAGAGUCA